AUAUAUAUUUACCCUUUUUUAAAAUACAGGAAUAUUCUGAAGACAGCAACUCUGAACCAAAUGUAGAUUUGGAGAAUCAGUAUUACAACUCCAAAGCCUUGAAAGAGGAUGACCCCAAAGCAGCACUGAGCAGUUUUCAAAAGGUUUUGGAGCUUGAAGGUGAAAAAGGAGAAUGGGGAUUCAAAGCAUUAAAACAGAUGAUAAAAAUAAAUUUCAAACUGACUAACUUUCCUGAAAUGAUGAACAGAUAUAAACAACUAUUGACCUACAUACGGAGUGCGGUCACAAGGAAUUAUUCAGAAAAAUCCAUCAAUUCUAUUCUUGAUUAUAUUUCCACUUCAA
Thamnophis sirtalis is the source of this 342-nucleotide non-coding RNA. Lineage: Eukaryota; Metazoa; Chordata; Lepidosauria; Squamata; Natricidae. The record is from RefSeq and is a predicted model, not a curated record.